RNAcentral lists this ribosomal RNA (433 nucleotides) under uncultured bacterium. Its description in RNAcentral is "partial 16S ribosomal RNA". It matches the Rfam family "Bacterial small subunit ribosomal RNA", at positions 29 to 507 of the family's 1533-position model. The record is from RNAcentral.
AACGAACGCUGGCGGCAUGCCUAACACAUGCAAGUCGAACGAGACCUUCGGGUCUAGUGGCGCACGGGUGCGUAACGCGUGGGAACCUGCCCUUAGGUUCGGAAUAACUCCCCGAAAGGGGUGCUAAUACCGGAUAAUGUCUUCGGACCAAAGAUUUAUCGCCUUUGGAUGGGCCCGCGUUGGAUUAGCUAGUUGGUAGGGUAAAAGCCUACCAAGGCGACGAUCCAUAGCUGGUCUGAGAGGAUGAUCAGCCACACUGGGACUGAGACACGGCCCAGACUCCUACGGGAGGCAGCAGUGGGGAAUAUUGGAAAGUGGGCGGAAGCCUGAUCCAGCAAUGCCGGGUGAGUGAUGAAGGCCUUAGGGUUGUAAAGCUCUUUUACCCGGGAUGAUAAUGACAGUACCGGGAGAAUAAGCUCCGGCUAACUCCGUG